AGAGUUUGAUCAUGGCUCAGAAUCAACGCUGGCGGCGUGCCUCAGACAUGCAAGUCGAACGCGAAAGCUCCCUUCGGGGAGCAAGUAGAGUGGCGCACGGGUGAGUAACACGUAGGUAAUCUACCUUUGGAUGGGGAAUAACACCGAGAAAUCGGUGCUAAUACCGCAUAAUGCAGCGGCACCUAAUGGUGACAGUUGUUAAAGCGGGGGAUCGCAAGACCUCGCGUCUAAAGAGGAGCCUGCGGCGGAUUAGCUAGUUGGUAAGGUAAUGGCUUACCAAGGCGAUGAUCCGUAACCGGCCUGAGAGGGCGGUCGGUCACACUGACACUGACAUACGGGUCAGACUCCUACGGGAGGCAGCAGUCGGGAAUUUUGGGCAAUGGGCGAAAGCCUGACCCAGCAACGCCGCGUGAAGGAUGAAAUCCCUCGGGAUGUAAACUUCGCAAGAACAGGAAGAAUAAGUAAGGGUUAAUAUCUCUUACGAUGACGGUACUGUUUGUAAGCUCCGGCUAACUCCGUGCCAGCAGCCGCGGUAAUAC
This 539-nucleotide ribosomal RNA is filed under the name uncultured bacterium. Its description in RNAcentral is "bacterial SSU rRNA". It matches the Rfam family "Bacterial small subunit ribosomal RNA", at positions 8 to 526 of the family's 1533-position model. The record is from RNAcentral.